UACUCCCUCGGUCUCAAAAUAAGCUAAUCUCGUAUUAGGAUGUGACACAUCCUUGUACGAGGUUAAUUUAUUUUGGGACGGAGGGAGUAC
MicroRNA precursor from Oryza sativa Japonica Group (Japanese rice), 90 nucleotides. It matches the Rfam family "MIR1862 microRNA precursor family". The record is from Rfam. NCBI's taxonomy places the organism in Eukaryota, Viridiplantae, Streptophyta, Magnoliopsida, Poales, Poaceae.